Molecule: ribosomal RNA, 390 nt
Filed under: uncultured Nitrospina sp.
Lineage: Bacteria; Pseudomonadati; Nitrospinota; Nitrospinia; Nitrospinales; Nitrospinaceae
Description: bacterial SSU rRNA
Rfam family: Bacterial small subunit ribosomal RNA
Source: RNAcentral
AACGAACGCUGGCGGCGUGCCUAACACAUGCAAGUCGAACGAGAAUUUUCCUUUCGGGGAAAUAGUAAAGUGGCGCAAGGGUGAGUAACACGUGAAUAAUCUGCCUACGAAUUCGGGAUAACGCGGGGAAACCUGUGCUAAUACCGGAUAAGACCACGUCUCUUAUGUGAUGUGGCCAAAGGAGUCUCAAACUCCGUUUGUAGAUGAGUUCGCGGACCAUUAGCUUGUUGGAGGGAUAACAGCCCCCCAAGGCGACGAUGGUUAGCCGGCCUGAGAGGGUGAUCGGCCACACUGGAACUGAGACACGGUCCAGACUCCGUACGGGAGGCAGCAGUGGGGAAUAUUGCGCAAUGGGCGAAAGCCUGACGCAGCAACGCCGCGUGAGGGAUG